This 133-nucleotide ribosomal RNA is filed under the name uncultured bacterium. RNAcentral describes it as "partial 16S ribosomal RNA". The record is from RNAcentral.
AGUUAGCCGAUGCUUAUUCUUCAGGUACACGUCAUUUAUUCCUCCCUGAAAAAAAGAGGUUUACAACCCAUAGGCCGUCAUCCCUCACGCGGUAUUGCUCCGUCAGGCUUUCGCCCAUUGCGGAAAAUUCCCC